This 426-nucleotide ribosomal RNA is filed under the name uncultured bacterium. Its description in RNAcentral is "partial 16S ribosomal RNA". It matches the Rfam family "Bacterial small subunit ribosomal RNA", at positions 354 to 796 of the family's 1533-position model. The record is from RNAcentral.
GUGAGGAAUUUUCCGCAAUGGGCGAAAGCCUGACGGAGCAAUGCCGCGUGAAGGAUGAAGGCCUAUGGGUUGUAAACUUCUUUUCUUAGAGAAGAAUAUUGACGGUAUCUGAGUAAUAAGCAUCGGCUCACUCUGUGCCAGCAGCCGCGGUAAGACAGAGGAUGCAAGCGUUAUCCGGAAUGAUUGGGCGUAAAGCGUCUGUAGGUGGCUUCAAACGUCUCCUGUCAAAGAUCAGGGCUUAACCCUGGGCCGGCAGGAGAAACUGUGAGGCUAGAGUUUGGUAGGGGCAGAGGGAAUGCCCGGUGGAGCGGUGAAAUGCGUAGAGAUCGGGAGGAACACCAAAGGCGAAAGCACUCUGCUGGGCCACAACUGACACUGAGAGACGAAAGCGAGGGGAGCAAAAGGGAUUAGAAACCCGUGUAGUCC